UGCCAGCCGCCGCGGUAAUACGGAGGGUGCAAGCGUUGUUCGGAAUUACUGGGCGUAAAGCGCGCGUAGGUGGUUAUAUAAGUCAGAUGUGAAAGUCCACGGCUCAACCGUGGAAGUGCAUUUGAAACUGUAUAACUUGAGUACUGGAGGGGGUAGUGGAAUUCCCGGUGUAGAGGUGAAAUUCGUAGAUAUCGGGAGGAAUACCGGUGGCGAAGGCGACUACCUGGCCAGAUACUGACACUGAGGUGCGAAAGCGUGGGGAGCAAACAGGAUUAGAUA
This 279-nucleotide ribosomal RNA is filed under the name uncultured bacterium. RNAcentral's name for it is "partial 16S ribosomal RNA". It matches the Rfam family "Bacterial small subunit ribosomal RNA", at positions 506 to 784 of the family's 1533-position model. The record is from RNAcentral.